Molecule: ribosomal RNA, 460 nt
Filed under: uncultured bacterium
Lineage: Bacteria
Description: partial 16S ribosomal RNA
Rfam family: Bacterial small subunit ribosomal RNA
Source: RNAcentral
CCUACGGGCGGCAGCAGUGAGGAAUAUUGGUCAAUGGACGCAAGUCUGAACCAGCCAUGCCGCGUGCAGGAAGACGGCACUAUGAGUUGUAAACUGCUUUUGUACGAGGGUAAACGCAGAUACGUGUAUCUGUCUGAAAGUAUCGUACGAAUAAGGAUCGGCUAACUCCGUGCCAGCAGCCGCGGUAAUACGGAGGAUGCAAGCGUUAUCCGGAUUUAUUGGGUUUAAAGGGUGCGUAGGCGGUCGGAUAAGUUAGUGGUGAAAUCCCGAGGCUCAACCUCGGAACUGCCUCUGAUACUGUCCGGCUAGAGAGUAGGUGCGGUAGGCGGAAUGUAUGGUGUAGCGGUGAAAUGCUUAGAGAUCACACAGAACACCGAUUGCGAAGGCAGCUUACCAAGCCACUUCUGACGUUGAGGCACGAAAGCGUGGGGAGCAAACAGGAUUAGAUACCCGUGUAGUC